Non-coding RNA from Danionella cerebrum, 75 nucleotides. The record is from the annotation of a GenBank genome assembly. NCBI's taxonomy places the organism in Eukaryota, Metazoa, Chordata, Actinopteri, Cypriniformes, Danionidae.
ACUUUUCUGUGGCUCAGGCAAUAGAACAUUGCACUAGCAAUGCAAAGAUUGUGGGUUCAAACCUCACGGAAAGCA